Molecule: long non-coding RNA, 723 nt
Filed under: Oreochromis niloticus (Nile tilapia)
Lineage: Eukaryota; Metazoa; Chordata; Actinopteri; Cichliformes; Cichlidae
Description: lncRNA (ENSONIG00000029294.1)
Source: RNAcentral
AUGUCUGCUGUAACUGCGUCACUCUGCUCCACGCUGAUGUUUGUCCUGUUCGUCUCUGCAGACCAGAAAAACAUCACAGCUGAGUCUGGACAGGACGUCACUCUGACAUGUCGAGCUCCAAACAACAACAUCAUAGUUGUAAAGUGGAGCAGAGCUGAUCUGGGAGAUGAUUAUGUGCUUUUGUACCGGGAUGAGCAGUUUGAUCCAGAAGGCCAGCAUCCAUCUUUUAAGAACCGGGUGGAUCUGCAGGACAGACAGAUGAAGGAUGGAGACGUGUCUUUGAUUCUGAAGAAUGUGACGAUUAAUGAUGUUGGAACAUACGAGUGUGGUGUUGUCCAGCGAGUGAGAGGACCUUUGACUCUAAUCAACACCACCUACCUUCAUGUUGAUCCUCCAGGUCAGACAGGAGGACACGAGAAGGAUGAAGACAACAAAGAUGGAGGAAAGGAAGACAGAAGGAAGGAGGAUGGAUCUGUUGGACUGAAAGUUGGUCUGUCAGUUCUUGUUGUGCUUCUUCUUGUUGCUGUUGUUGGUUUCUUCAUCUACAGAAGCUGUAAACUGAAUCCUGCUGAUCCACAUGUAGCAGAGCAUCUUCAGCCUCCACAGCCUGAAUACCAGAAAAACAUCCCAGCAGAGUCUGGACAGGACGUCACUCUGACAUGUCGAGCUCCAAGCAGCGAGUCAGAGAAAAUGAGCGAACAGCUUCAUCAACUUGAUUAUUGA